AAAGAUUUAGUUAAAACAUAACACCAAUUUGUCAAAUUGAAAUUAAUAAAACUUUAUUAUUCUUUA
Molecule: transfer RNA, 66 nt
Filed under: Scaphidema metallicum
Lineage: Eukaryota; Metazoa; Arthropoda; Insecta; Coleoptera; Tenebrionidae
Description: tRNA-Asp
Source: RNAcentral